RNAcentral lists this ribosomal RNA (322 nucleotides) under Salmonella sp. BV10. Its description in RNAcentral is "bacterial SSU rRNA". It matches the Rfam family "Bacterial small subunit ribosomal RNA", at positions 1069 to 1391 of the family's 1533-position model. Lineage: Bacteria; Pseudomonadati; Pseudomonadota; Gammaproteobacteria; Enterobacterales; Enterobacteriaceae. The record is from RNAcentral.
GAAAUGUUGGGUUAAGUCCCGCAACGAGCGCAACCCUUAUCCUUUGUUGCCAGCGGUCCGGCCGGGAACUCAAAGGAGACUGCCAGUGAUAAACUGGAGGAAGGUGGGGAUGACGUCAAGUCAUCAUGGCCCUUACGACCAGGGCUACACACGUGCUACAAUGGCGCAUACAAAGAGAAGCGACCUCGCGAGAGCAAGCGGACCUCAUAAAGUGCGUCGUAGUCCGGAUUGGAGUCUGCAACUCGACUCCAUGAAGUCGGAAUCGCUAGUAAUCGUGGAUCAGAAUGCCACGGUGAAUACGUUCCCGGGUCUUGUACACACC